This 253-nucleotide ribosomal RNA is filed under the name uncultured bacterium. Its description in RNAcentral is "partial 16S ribosomal RNA". It matches the Rfam family "Bacterial small subunit ribosomal RNA", at positions 524 to 776 of the family's 1533-position model. The record is from RNAcentral.
UACGGAGGGUGCAAGCGUUAAUCGGAAUCACUGGGCGUAAAGCGCGCGUAGGUGGCUAUUUAAGUCAGAUGUGAAAGCCCUGGGCUCAACCUGGGAAUGGCAUUUGAUACUGGAUAGCUAGAGUAUGGUAGAGGUGAGUGGAAUUUCAGGUGUAGCGGUGAAAUGCGUAGAGAUCUGAAGGAACAGCAGUGGCGAAGGCGACUCACUGGGCCUGAAUUGACACUGAGACACGAAAGCGUGGGGAUCAAACAGG